GCUGGAUUAGCUCAGUUGGUAGAGCGCGCCACUCGUAAUGGCGAGGUCGUAAGUUCGAACCUUACAUUCAGCACCA
This 76-nucleotide transfer RNA is filed under the name Acidobacteriota bacterium. RNAcentral describes it as "Acidobacteria bacterium tRNA-Thr". It matches the Rfam family "tRNA". Rfam says of the family: Transfer RNA (tRNA) molecules are approximately 80 nucleotides in length. The record is from RNAcentral. Lineage: Bacteria; Pseudomonadati; Acidobacteriota.